GACGAACGCUGGCGGCGUGCCUAAUACAUGCAAGUCGAACGCUGAAGGAGGAGCUUGCUUCUCUGGAUGAGUUGCGAACGGGUGAGUAACGCGUAGGUAACCUGCCUGGUAGCGGGGGAUAACUAUUGGAAACGAUAGCUAAUACCGCAUAAGAGUAGAUGUUGCAUGACAUUUGCUUAAAAGGUGCAAUUGCAUCACUACCAGAUGGACCUGCGUUGUAUUAGCUAGUUGGUGGGGUAACGGCUCACCAAGGCGACGAUACAUAGCCGACCUGGGAGGGGGAUCGGCCACACUGGGACUGGGACACGGCCCAGACUCCUACGGGAGGCAGCAGGAGGGAAUCUUCGGCAAGGGACGGAAGUCUGACCGAGCAACGCCGCGGGAGUGAAGAAGGGUUUCGGAUCGUAAAGCUCUGUUGUAAGAGAAGAACGAGUGUGAGAGUGGAAAGUUCACACUGUGACGGUAGCUUACCAGAAAGGGACGGCUAACUACGUG
This 495-nucleotide ribosomal RNA is filed under the name uncultured bacterium. RNAcentral's name for it is "partial 16S ribosomal RNA". It matches the Rfam family "Bacterial small subunit ribosomal RNA", at positions 28 to 507 of the family's 1533-position model. The record is from RNAcentral.